Long non-coding RNA from Homo sapiens (human), 522 nucleotides. Ensembl annotates it as long intergenic non-protein coding RNA 1990. Lineage: Eukaryota; Metazoa; Chordata; Mammalia; Primates; Hominidae. The record is from Ensembl.
ACAUUUGUCUUGGCGCUCUGGGGAAGAAGAAAACAAACUCAAAGAAGCAAUUUUUCUGGAAACACACAAUUGCAGAAAGAGAUUCAGAGAGGCUGUUCCUGGUUUCUUGGCUAAGGUCCUUUCUACUAUCCAGACUACAUUGGCUCAGUCCAGGAGGAGUCAAAGAAGAUAAGGACACUGCAGCCCAGAGAAGAAACCUGCAAAGGCCGUGUUCACACACUCACAAGAGAUAUGGCUGUGAUUUGGAUCCAGAUGUGAUGGGCUGACAACAAAACUCCUGUGAUACCAUGAAGUCUUCGGGAGGCAGAAUUGAAGUGAACAUGAAGUUUAGCUUAGAGAAGAAAAGAAUAAAUACAUACAAAACAUUUGAUGGUGAAUAAACAGAAAAUGGUGUAUUCAACAGAAUUUGACUCAGCAAUAAAAAUGAACCAAACUAUGGAAAACAACACCCAACAACAGGAAGAAAUCUCAAAAUAAUUAUGGUGAGUGAAAGAGGCCAGACCAAAAAAAAAAAAAAAAAAA